This 426-nucleotide ribosomal RNA is filed under the name Bradyrhizobium genosp. ETH1. RNAcentral's name for it is "bacterial SSU rRNA". It matches the Rfam family "Bacterial small subunit ribosomal RNA", at positions 16 to 486 of the family's 1533-position model. The record is from RNAcentral. Lineage: Bacteria; Pseudomonadati; Pseudomonadota; Alphaproteobacteria; Hyphomicrobiales; Nitrobacteraceae.
AUCCUGGCUCAGAGCGAACGCUGGCGGCAGGCUUAACACAUGCAAGUCGAGCGAGCGUAGCAAUACGUCAGCGGCAGACGGGUGAGUAACGCGUGGGAACGUACCUUUUGGUUCGGAACAACACAGGGAAACUUGUGCUAAUACCGGAUAAGCCCUUACGGGGAAAGAUUUAUCGCCGAAAGAUCGGCCCGCGUCUGAUUAGCUAGUUGGUGAGGUAAUGGCUCACCAAGGCGACGAUCAGUAGCUGGUCUGAGAGGAUGAUCAGCCACAUUGGGACUGAGACACGGCCCAAACUCCUACGGGAGGCAGCAGUGGGGAAUAUUGGACAAUGGGGGCAACCCUGAUCCAGCCAUGCCGCGUGAGUGAUGAAGGCCCUAGGGUUGUAAAGCUCUUUUGUGCGGGAAGAUAAUGACGGUACCGCAAGAA